This 198-nucleotide ribosomal RNA is filed under the name uncultured bacterium. RNAcentral describes it as "partial 16S ribosomal RNA". It matches the Rfam family "Bacterial small subunit ribosomal RNA", at positions 328 to 539 of the family's 1533-position model. The record is from RNAcentral.
ACGCUCGACACCUACGGGAGACAGCAGUGGGGAAUAUUGCACAAUGGGGGAAACCCUGAUGCAGCGACGCCGCGUGAAGGAAGAAGUAUCUCGGUAUGUAAACUUCUAUCAGCAGGGAAGAAAAUGACGGUACCUGACUAAGAAGCCCCGGCUAACUACGUGCCAUCAGCCACGGUAAUCUGAGCGGGCUGGCAAGGC